CGGGGAGCAAUCCCCAGUCGAGCGGCGAACGGGUGAGUAACGCGUGGAUGACCUGCCCUUCAGCGGGGAAUAACCCGGGGAAACUCGGGCUAAUACCGCAUACGACCGCGAGGUGAAAGGGGGCCGCAAGGCUCCUACUGAAGGAGGGGUCCGCGUCCGAUUAGCUAGUUGGUAGGGUAAUGGCCUACCAAGGCGACGAUCGGUAGCCGGCCUGAGAGGGUGAUCGGCCACACUGGAACUGAGACACGGUCCAGACUCCUACGGGAGGCAGCAGUGGGGAAUUUUGCGCAAUGGGCUAACGCCUGACGCAGCAACGCCGCGUGGAGGAUGAAGGUCUUUGGAUUGUAAACUCCUGUCAGCAGGGAAAAAGGGAAGGGACCUAAUACGUCUCUGACUUGAUUGUACCUGCAGAGGAAGCCCCGGCUAACUCUGUGCCAGCAGCCGCGGUAAUACAGAGGGGGCAAGCGUUAUUCGGAAUUAUUGGGCGUAAAGGGCGCGUAGGCGGCUUUGCAAGUGGCGGGUGAAAUCCCUCGGCUUAACCGAGGAACUGCCUGCCAGACUGCAUUGCUUGAGUCCGGGAGAGGUGAGUGGAAUUCCCAGUGUAGCGGUGAAAUGCGUAGAUAUUGGGAGGAACACCAGUGGCGAAGGCGGCUCACUGGACCGGAACUGACGCUGAGGCGCAAAAGCGUGGGGAGCAAACAGGAUUAGAUACCCUGGUAGUCCACGCCGUAAACGAUGAGUGCUUGGUGUAGCGGGUAUCGACCCCUGCUGUGCCGAAGUCAACACAUUAAGCACUCC
Molecule: ribosomal RNA, 798 nt
Filed under: uncultured Acidobacteriota bacterium
Lineage: Bacteria; Pseudomonadati; Acidobacteriota
Description: bacterial SSU rRNA
Rfam family: Bacterial small subunit ribosomal RNA
Source: RNAcentral